Long non-coding RNA from Condylura cristata (star-nosed mole), 168 nucleotides. RefSeq lists it as uncharacterized. Lineage: Eukaryota; Metazoa; Chordata; Mammalia; Eulipotyphla; Talpidae. The record is from RefSeq and is a predicted model, not a curated record. The transcript is spliced from 3 exons.
GUGCAAGUCCUGCAUCCUCUGUGGGACCUCAGAGAAUGAUGACCAGCUCCUCUUCUGUGAUGACUGUGAUCGUGGCUACCACAUGUACUGUUUAAAUCCUCCUGUGGCUGAGCCUCCAGAAGGAAGUUGGAGUUGUCACUUAUGCUGGGAACUGCUCAAAGAAAAAGC